RNAcentral lists this ribosomal RNA (595 nucleotides) under Endasys plagiator. RNAcentral's name for it is "eukaryotic LSU rRNA". It matches the Rfam family "Eukaryotic large subunit ribosomal RNA", at positions 507 to 804 of the family's 3401-position model. The record is from RNAcentral. Lineage: Eukaryota; Metazoa; Arthropoda; Insecta; Hymenoptera; Ichneumonidae.
GUACGUGUGCGGUUCGCGAUGUCUGCGAGAUUUCGGUCUCAAUGGCACGCGUCCGCAUGUUUUUUAUUGCCUGAAUCGUCGGCGUGCACUUCUCCCCUAGUAGGACGUCGCGACCCGUUGGGUGUCGGUCUACGGCCCGGGUGGUAGCCUGUUUCGUGUGCGCUUUACGGCGUUACGCGGGGCAGACCCCCGGUUGCCUGGCCGGCUGCCCGGCGGUACUCGUACGGUAUCUGGCCGCAAAUAUUCGAACUGCGUCCGGCCCGUCGCAAGCGAGGCAAGUGUUUCCCGGAUGUACGGAUCUAAUGCCGUCACCGGGCCUUGCCAGCUGUUGGUUGACGGUGUCCUAGGACUGGCUAACAAAUUAUGAUACCGGUCGGCGACGCUACUGCUUUGGGUACUUUCAGGACCCGUCUUGAAACACGGACCAAGGAGUCUAACAUGUGCGCGAGUCAUUGGGAACUAUUAAGCCUAAAGGCGCAAUGAAAGUGAAGGUCGGCCUUGCGCCGACCGAGGGAGGAUGGGCCGCGUCACGAUGCGGUCCCGCACUCCCGGGGCGUCUCGUUCUCAUUGCGAGAAGAGGCGCACCCAGAGCGUA